Molecule: ribosomal RNA, 486 nt
Filed under: Caltathra sp. NC
Lineage: Eukaryota; Metazoa; Arthropoda; Insecta; Orthoptera; Phalangopsidae
Description: partial 16S ribosomal RNA
Rfam family: Bacterial large subunit ribosomal RNA
Source: RNAcentral
CUUCUUGUUUUGUUAUGAAGUCUUGCCUGCCCACUGAUUAAUUGAAGGGCCGCGGUAUUUUGACCGUGCAAAGGUAGCAUAAUCAUUAGUCUUUUAAUUGUGGACUUGUAUGAAUGGUUUGACGAGGUGAAAACUGUCUCUUAAAUAUUUUAGGAAUUUUACUUUUGAGUUAAAAGGCUCAAUUUUUAAUAGGGGACGAGAAGACCCUAUAGAUCUUUACUUUUUUAGUAUAAUUUUUUGUUAGUUAGUGGAUUAUUAAUUAUUUUGAAGGAGUUUUGUUGGGGUGACAAGGGAAUUGAAUUAGCUUCUUGAUGAUAAUACUUUUAUUGGUGGAAUAUUGAUCCUUUAUUAUGGAUGAUAGAUUAAGAUACCUUAGGGAUAACAGCGUUAUUUUAUUUGAGAGUUCUUAUUGACAAUAAAGAUUGCGACCUCGAUGUUGGAUUAAGAUUAUAUUUUGGUGUAGUUGCUAAGUUGGUUGGUCUGUUC